Molecule: ribosomal RNA, 500 nt
Filed under: uncultured bacterium
Lineage: Bacteria
Description: partial 16S ribosomal RNA
Rfam family: Bacterial small subunit ribosomal RNA
Source: RNAcentral
AUUGAACGCUGGCGGCAUGCUUUACACAUGCAAGUCGAACGGUAACAGGGUGCUUGCACCGCUGACGAGUGGCGAACGGGUGAGUAAUGCGUCGGAACGUGCCGAGUAGUGGGGGAUAACGCAGCGAAAGUUGUGCUAAUACCGCAUACGUACUGAGGUAGAAAGUGGGGGACCUUCGGGCCUCACGCUAUUCGAGCGGCCGACGUCUGAUUAGCUAGUAGGUGAGGUAAAGGCUCACCUAGGCGACGAUCAGUAGCGGGUCUGAGAGGAGGAUCCGCCACACUGGGACUGAGACACGGCCCAGACUCCUACGGGAGGCAGCAGUGGGGAAUUUUGGACAAUGGGCGAAAGCCUGAUCCAGCCAUGCCGCGUGUCUGAAGAAGGCCUUCGGGUUGUAAAGGACUUUUGUCAGGGAGGAAAUCCCUAGCGUUAAUACCGCUGGGGGAUGACAGUACCUGAAGAAUAAGCACCGGCUAACUACGUGCCAGCAGCCGCAGUAA